GGGCGCGUAGCUCAAUCGGUAGAGCAAGCGGCUCUUAACCGCUAGGUUCAGGGUUCGAGUCCCUGCGCGCUCACCA
Molecule: transfer RNA, 76 nt
Filed under: Candidatus Shapirobacteria bacterium
Lineage: Bacteria; Candidatus Shapironibacteriota
Description: tRNA-Lys
Rfam family: tRNA
About the family: Transfer RNA (tRNA) molecules are approximately 80 nucleotides in length. Their secondary structure includes four short double-helical elements and three loops (D, anti-codon, and T loops). Further hydrogen bonds mediate the characteristic L-shaped molecular structure. tRNAs have two regions of fundamental functional importance: the anti-codon, which is responsible for specific mRNA codon recognition, and the 3' end, to which the tRNAs corresponding amino acid is attached (by aminoacyl-tRNA synthetases). tRNAs cope with the degeneracy of the genetic code in two manners: having more than one tRNA (with a specific anti-codon) for a particular amino acid; and 'wobble' base-pairing, i.e. permitting non-standard base-pairing at the 3rd anti-codon position.
Source: RNAcentral